Molecule: RNA transcript, 2402 nt
Organism: Scomber scombrus (Atlantic mackerel)
Lineage: Eukaryota; Metazoa; Chordata; Actinopteri; Scombriformes; Scombridae
Gene name: tripartite motif-containing protein 16-like
Exons: 2
Source: RefSeq, a predicted model, not a curated record
AGAGUAUCUCUUUAAAAGUGCUCCUCCUCCUGGAGUGACUCAUUGAAAGCCCCUCCCUCUUCUUCCUGCUCUCAUACACAACAAGCUCCACUCUGUGCUCGUACUCUAUUUCCUUGUUCCCUCCCUGUCAGAUCUACAGUUUUGAAGAUGUGUGUAACCAACAUGUAAUGCAGUACAAGAGCUGUCAGGCUGCAUUUAGUAUAGAAUCACAUGUUGUUCAGAUCAGAUCUCAAACUUGUUCAGCUUCUCAGGAAGUAAAACUCAGACAGUCGUUGCCUCUGAGAGCUGAAAUGGCACAGAAAGGAGAUCAGCUGGACCGAAAAACAAUCAGCUGUUCGAUCUGUCUGGAUCUACUGAAGGAUCCGGUGACUAUUCCCUGUGGACACAGCUACUGUAUGAGCUGUAUUAAAACACACUGGUAUGGAGAGGAUCAGAGGAAGAUCUACAGCUGCCCUCAGUGCAGAAAGACCUUCACAACAAAGCCUGUGCUGGUGAAAAACACCAUGUUAGCAGAUUUAGUGGAGCAGCUGAAGAAGACUGGACUCCAAGCUGCUCCUGCUGAUCACUGCUAUGCUGGACCUGAAGAUGUGGCCUGUGAUGUCUGCACUGGGAGGAAGCUGAGAGCCUUCAAGUCCUGUCUGACCUGUCCUGCCUCUUACUGUGAGAAUCACCUCCAGCCUCAUUAUGAUGCAGUGCCAUUAAAGAAACACAAGCUGGUCGACCCCACAAAGAAGCUCCAGGAGAACAUCUGCUCUCUUCAUGAUGAGGUGAUGAAGAUAUUCUGCCGUUCUGAUCAGCAGAGUAUCUGUUAUCUCUGCUCUGUGGAGGAUCAUAAAGGCCACGACACAGUCUCAGCUGCAGCAGAAAGGACUGAGAGGCAGAGAGAGCUCGAGGUGAGUCGACUAAAAAUCCAGCAGAGAAUCCAGGACAGAGAGAAAGAUGUAAAGUUGCUUCAACAGGAAGUGGAGGCCGUCAGUCGCUCUGCUGAUAAAACAGUGGAGGACAGUGAGAAGAUCUUCACUGAGCUGAUCCGUCUCCUCCAGAAAAGAAGCUCUGAUGUGAAGCAGCAGAUCAGAUCCCAGCAGGAAACUGAAGUGAGUCGAGUUGAAGAGCUUCAGGAGAAACUGCAGCAGGAGAUCACUGAGCUGAAGAGGAAAGACACUGAACUGAAGCAGCUCUCACACACAGAGGAUCACAUCCAGUUUCUACACAACUACCCCUCAGUGUCACAACUCAGUGAGCCUACAGAUUCAUCCAGCAUCAAUAUCCAUCCUCUGAGAUACUUUGAGGAUGUGACAGCAGCUGUGUCAGAGCUCAGAGAUAAACUACAGGACAUCCUGAGGGGGGAAUGGACAAAUAUCUCAGUGACAGAGCCUGAAAUUGAUGUUUUACCAUCAGAACCACAACCCAAGACCAGAGCUGAGUUCUUAAAUUAUUCAUGUGAAAUCACUCUGGAUCCAAACACAGCAUACACACAUCUGUUAUUAUCUGAGGGGAACAGAAAAGUAGAAGCAAUAAAUCAAAAACAGUCUUAUACUAGUCACCCAGACAGAUUCACUGAUUAUUGGCAAGUCCUGAGUAGAGAGAGUCUGACUGGACGUUGUUACUGGGAGGUGGAGCGGAAAGGGAGAGAAGUUCGUAUUGCAGUCGCAUACAAGAACAUCAGCAGAGCAGGAUGGUCAGAUGAAUGUGUUUUUGGACAUAAUGACAAAUCUUGGGCUUUGUAUUGUUACAGUAUCAGUUAUAAUUUUUGGUUCAACAACAUUAAAACUCGUGUCUCAGGUCCUCAUUCCUCCAGAGUCGGAGUGUACCUGGAUCACAGAGCAGGUAUUCUGUCCUUCUACAGCGUCUCUGAAACCAUGACUCUCCUCCACAGAGUCCAGACCACAUUCACUCAGCCUCUCUAUGCUGGACUUUAUCUUUUUUCUGGAGUCAUAGCUGAGUUGUGUAAACUGAAAUAGACAGAAGUCAUUUCAGACUUCAUGUAUCAGAAUCUGUGUUGUAAUUCUUCAUGUUUUUGUCUCCAUGUUUCUGAACUGCACAGAGAUCAUCUGUCAUGCUAAUAGGGACUGUCAACACUUUUUUCUACUUUAUAUAUGUGUUGUUGAUAUAAUCAGUUUCUUUAAAUUUUCUUUAAAUGUGACUCUUUCCUGUGUGUUUUUAUCCAUGGAGGCUCUCACUGCUCAUGACGAUGUUUUUAACAUUCACUGACAUUUCUUCAGAUGAAAAUGUGAACUUCUCUUUGUUCUAAAUGUUAGUUUCAUGUUUGUAUUGAUGUAUUUGUGUGCUGUUGUUUCUUGAACAGCGAAAAGAGCAGGACUUCCUUCAUCAUAGAUAUUUAGUUUUACCACUUUGUAAAUUGAUAAAUAAGUGUUCAAACUGUAAUUAUCAUGAUAAUAAUC